CCUAUGGGGCCUCCCUAUGGCCCCUCCCUGCCCCCUGCCCCGUUCCCCCCCCAGCCCCCCCUGCUGUCGUCGUUGCCGUUCCGCAGCCUGGAGCAGCUGCGCCAGCGCCCGGCCCAUCUGGCCGCCUUCCUCCUGCACUGCGUGCUGCAGUUCGAGCCCGGCCCCGCGCUGUGUUGGCUGCACGCUCAGCUGCUGCUGCGCCGCCCCCACCCCAAGGAGGGCAGGAAACUCUUCCAGGAAUUCGGGGCGAAGUUCCUGGAGCGCAGCGCGGUGAGAGGAUCGUAGGGACCCAUACUGACCCCAUAGGGACCAUAGGACCACAUAGGGACCCCAUAGGGACCCCAUAGGGACCAUAGGACCACAUAGGGACCCAUUGGGACCCAUGGGGACCCAUACAGACCCCAUAGGGACCAUAGGACCCCAUAGGGACCCAUACAGACCCCAUAGGGACCCAUACAGACCCCAUAGGGACCAUAGGACCCCAUAGGGACCAUAGGACCCCAUAGGGACCCACAGAGACCCAUAGGGACCCAUACAGACCAUAGGAACCCAUACAGACCCCAUAGGGACCCAUACAGACCCCAUAGGGACCCCAUAAGGACCCACAGAGACCCAUAGGACCCAAUAGAACACAUAGAGACCCCAUAGAAACUCUUACAACCCCAUAAGGACCCACAGAGACCCAUAGGGACCCAUAGAUCCCAUAGAGACACAUAGGACCCCAUAGAGAUCCCAUAGAGACCCAUAGAGACCCAUAGAAACCCCAUAGGGCCCCAUAGAGACCCCAUAACACCCCAUAGAGCCCAUACAGACCCCAUAGAGACCCAUAGGGACCCCACACCCCAUAACACCCCACAGAGACCCCACAAGACCCCAUAAGACCCCAUUGGACACCAUAACACCCCAUAAGACCCCAUAAAACCCCAUAAGACCCCACAAGACCCCACAAGACCCCAUAAGACCCCAUAAGACCCCACAGGACCUUCCUUCCCCCCCCCGCCCCCAUUAGGAUCCAUGGGGCCGCAGGGAUUUGGGGCAGAGCUGCAGCCGCUUGUAGGGCCCCAUAGAGACCCCAUAGAGACCCAUAGGACACUGUAAGACCCCAUAGCGACCCCAUAAGAGCCCAUAGAGACCCCAUAGAGACCCAUAGAGAUGCCAUAGAGACCCAUAGAGACCCAUAGGACCCCAUAGGAACCCCAUAAGACCCCAUAGAGACCCCAUAAAACCCCAUAGAGACCCAUAGGAGACCAUAAGGCCCCAUAGGGACCCCAUAGAGACCCAUAGA
Molecule: long non-coding RNA, 1285 nt
Filed under: Chrysolophus pictus (golden pheasant)
Lineage: Eukaryota; Metazoa; Chordata; Aves; Galliformes; Phasianidae
Description: lncRNA (ENSCPIG00010000755.1)
Source: RNAcentral